Molecule: ribosomal RNA, 2895 nt
Filed under: Escherichia coli O128:H27
Lineage: Bacteria; Pseudomonadati; Pseudomonadota; Gammaproteobacteria; Enterobacterales; Enterobacteriaceae
Description: bacterial LSU rRNA
Rfam family: Bacterial large subunit ribosomal RNA
Source: RNAcentral
ACUAAGCGUACACGGUGGAUGCCCUGGCAGUCAGAGGCGAUGAAGGACGUGCUAAUCUGCGAUAAGCGUCGGUAAGGUGAUAUGAACCGUUAUAACCGGCGAUUUCCGAAUGGGGAAACCCAGUGUGAUUCGUCACACUAUCAUUAACUGAAUCCAUAGGUUAAUGAGGCGAACCGGGGGAACUGAAACAUCUAAGUACCCCGAGGAAAAGAAAUCAACCGAGAUUCCCCCAGUAGCGGCGAGCGAACGGGGAGCAGCCCAGAGCCUGAAUCAGUGUGUGUGUUAGUGGAAGCGUCUGGAAAGGCGCGCGAUACAGGGUGACAGCCCCGUACACAAAAAUGCACAUGCUGUGAGCUCGAUGAGUAGGGCGGGACACGUGGUAUCCUGUCUGAAUAUGGGGGGACCAUCCUCCAAGGCUAAAUACUCCUGACUGACCGAUAGUGAACCAGUACCGUGAGGGAAAGGCGAAAAGAACCCCGGCGAGGGGAGUGAAAAAGAACCUGAAACCGUGUACGUACAAGCAGUGGGAGCACAGAGCAAUCUGUGUGACUGCGUACCUUUUGUAUAAUGGGUCAGCGACUUAUAUUCUGUAGCAAGGUUAACCGAAUAGGGGAGCCGAAGGGAAACCGAGUCUUAACUGGGCGUUAAGUUGCAGGGUAUAGACCCGAAACCCGGUGAUCUAGCCAUGGGCAGGUUGAAGGUUGGGUAACACUAACUGGAGGACCGAACCGACUAAUGUUGAAAAAUUAGCGGAUGACUUGUGGCUGGGGGUGAAAGGCCAAUCAAACCGGGAGAUAGCUGGUUCUCCCCGAAAGCUAUUUAGGUAGCGCCUCGUGAAUUCAUCUCCGGGGGUAGAGCACUGUUUCGGCAAGGGGGUCAUCCCGACUUACCAACCCGAUGCAAACUGCGAAUACCGGAGAAUGUUAUCACGGGAGACACACGGCGGGUGCUAACGUCCGUCGUGAAGAGGGAAACAACCCAGACCGCCAGCUAAGGUCCCAAAGUCAUGGUUAAGUGGGAAACGAUGUGGGAAGGCCCAGACAGCCAGGAUGUUGGCUUAGAAGCAGCCAUCAUUUAAAGAAAGCGUAAUAGCUCACUGGUCGAGUCGGCCUGCGCGGAAGAUGUAACGGGGCUAAACCAUGCACCGAAGCUGCGGCAGCGACGCUUAUGCGUUGUUGGGUAGGGGAGCGUUCUGUAAGCCUGCGAAGGUGUGCUGUGAGGCAUGCUGGAGGUAUCAGAAGUGCGAAUGCUGACAUAAGUAACGAUAAAGCGGGUGAAAAGCCCGCUCGCCGGAAGACCAAGGGUUCCUGUCCAACGUUAAUCGGGGCAGGGUGAGUCGACCCCUAAGGCGAGGCCGAAAGGCGUAGUCGAUGGGAAACAGGUUAAUAUUCCUGUACUUGGUGUUACUGCGAAGGGGGGACGGAGAAGGCUAUGUUGGCCGGGCGACGGUUGUCCCGGUUUAAGCGUGUAGGCUGGUUUUCCAGGCAAAUCCGGAAAAUCAAGGCUGAGGCGUGAUGACGAGGCACUACGGUGCUGAAGCAACAAAUGCCCUGCUUCCAGGAAAAGCCUCUAAGCAUCAGGUAACAUCAAAUCGUACCCCAAACCGACACAGGUGGUCAGGUAGAGAAUACCAAGGCGCUUGAGAGAACUCGGGUGAAGGAACUAGGCAAAAUGGUGCCGUAACUUCGGGAGAAGGCACGCUGAUAUGUAGGUGAAGUCCCUCGCGGAUGGAGCUGAAAUCAGUCGAAGAUACCAGCUGGCUGCAACUGUUUAUUAAAAACACAGCACUGUGCAAACACGAAAGUGGACGUAUACGGUGUGACGCCUGCCCGGUGCCGGAAGGUUAAUUGAUGGGGUCAGCGCAAGCGAAGCUCUUGAUCGAAGCCCCGGUAAACGGCGGCCGUAACUAUAACGGUCCUAAGGUAGCGAAAUUCCUUGUCGGGUAAGUUCCGACCUGCACGAAUGGCGUAAUGAUGGCCAGGCUGUCUCCACCCGAGACUCAGUGAAAUUGAACUCGCUGUGAAGAUGCAGUGUACCCGCGGCAAGACGGAAAGACCCCGUGAACCUUUACUAUAGCUUGACACUGAACAUUGAGCCUUGAUGUGUAGGAUAGGUGGGAGGCUUUGAAGUGUGGACGCCAGUCUGCAUGGAGCCGACCUUGAAAUACCACCCUUUAAUGUUUGAUGUUCUAACGUUGACCCGUGAUCCGGGUUGCGGACAGUGUCUGGUGGGUAGUUUGACUGGGGCGGUCUCCUCCUAAAGAGUAACGGAGGAGCACGAAGGUUGGCUAAUCCUGGUCGGACAUCAGGAGGUUAGUGCAAUGGCAUAAGCCAGCUUGACUGCGAGCGUGACGGCGCGAGCAGGUGCGAAAGCAGGUCAUAGUGAUCCGGUGGUUCUGAAUGGAAGGGCCAUCGCUCAACGGAUAAAAGGUACUCCGGGGAUAACAGGCUGAUACCGCCCAAGAGUUCAUAUCGACGGCGGUGUUUGGCACCUCGAUGUCGGCUCAUCACAUCCUGGGGCUGAAGUAGGUCCCAAGGGUAUGGCUGUUCGCCAUUUAAAGUGGUACGCGAGCUGGGUUUAGAACGUCGUGAGACAGUUCGGUCCCUAUCUGCCGUGGGCGCUGGAGAAUUGAGGGGGGCUGCUCCUAGUACGAGAGGACCGGAGUGGACGCAUCACUGGUGUUCGGGUUGUCAUGCCAAUGGCACUGCCCGGUAGCUAAAUGCGGAAGAGAUAAGUGCUGAAAGCAUCUAAGCACGAAACUUGCCCCGAGAUGAGUUCUCCCUGACUCCUUGAGAGUCCUGAAGGAACGUUGAAGACGACGACGUUGAUAGGCCGGGUGUGUAAGCGCAGCGAUGCGUUGAGCUAACCGGUACUAAUGAACCGUGAGGCUUAACC